CCCGCUCAGAAACUCAAGGAAUUGACGGGGCCCGCACAAGCGGUGGAGCAUGUGGUUUAAUUCGAUGAUACGCGAGGAACCUUACCUGGCUCAAAUGUAUGUUGACGUAUUCUGAAAGGGAUACUUCUUCGGACAAUAUACAAGGUGCUGCAUGGUUGUCGUCAGCUCGUGCCGUGAGGUGUCGGGUUAAGUCCCAUAACGAGCGCAACCCCUAUCAUUAGUUGCCAUCAGGUCAAGCUGGGGACUCUAAUGAAACUGCCUACGCAAGUAGUGAGGAAGGUGGGGAUGACGUCAAAUCAGCACGGCCCUUACGUCCAGGGCUACACACGUGCUACAAUGGCCGGUACAAAGGGCAGCUACCUGGUGACAGGAUGCUAAUCUCAAAAGCCGGUCUCAGUUCGGAUCGGAGUCUGCAACUCGACUGCAUGAAGUUGGAAUCGCUAGUAAUCGUGGAUCAGCCAAGCCGCGGUGAAUACGUUCCCGGGCCUU
Molecule: ribosomal RNA, 489 nt
Filed under: uncultured Sphingobacteriales bacterium
Lineage: Bacteria; Pseudomonadati; Bacteroidota; Sphingobacteriia; Sphingobacteriales
Description: bacterial SSU rRNA
Rfam family: Bacterial small subunit ribosomal RNA
Source: RNAcentral